Sebastes umbrosus (honeycomb rockfish) is the source of this 1102-nucleotide long non-coding RNA. RefSeq lists it as uncharacterized. The record is from RefSeq and is a predicted model, not a curated record. The transcript has 3 exons. Lineage: Eukaryota; Metazoa; Chordata; Actinopteri; Perciformes; Sebastidae.
AGGGCACGGUGAGGGUGACGGAGGGUAACAUUUCCAUCAUGGUGACAUUGCAAGCUACAGGAAAUCAUUAAACCUCAUUAAACAAUAAGUCACAAAUAGCCUUGAGUCAUUAAAUCUUAUUUUUUAGUCACAUAUUUUAAAGACCCUAGCAGUUUUUUCCCCAGUGUUGUUGCCUAUUUAUGACAAAUGAUAUACAUUAUACAUUAUUUUUGACCACUUUCCAGAGUAUAAUUUCCAAGUCGCUGUGCUCAAAAGAGCAUUUGGAGAAGGAAAGAAUAUAAUAAAUAACUGAUAUGAUAUGAACUGAUAGAUAAGGGGAGGACGCUACACUGUUUCAAGGCCAAAAAUGCCCUUCAGAUAUGCACUGGGCUAUCUGAUCAAGGCUGCAACACUGAGAUAUCAUGCCUUUGUUUUUCUGCAUAUUUUUUUCAAAGAAUACCACAGUGUUUUAUAUGUUUUCAUGUGUUUGUCCUUCUUGCAGGUAGUCAUUUGUUUCUAUUCAUUUCUGUAAUCCCUGCUAUUACCUAUCUCAAGCUUCGAGCGUUCUCAAGUUUGAAUUCCAUAUUAAAAGGACCAAUGUGUAACAAUUAGGGGAUCUAUUAGCAGAAAUGGAAUAUAAUACGAAUAAGUAUGUUUUCUUUAGUGUAUAAUCACCUGAAAAUAAGAACUGUGCGUUUGCUUUAACUUAGAAUGAGCCGUUUAUAUCAACAUAUGAGCGGGUCCUCUACACAGAGCCGGCAGUCAUGUUUCUACAGUAGCCCAGAACGGACAAACCAAACACUGUUAUCUUUUCCUGCUUGGGCCGGAGACGAUAACGCCAUUCGCUACCGUCAUUCGCUACCGUCAUUCGCUACCGUCACUUCACCAUUCACGUCCCUCAUACACACACACACAAACUAAGCACUGUGUCUCCUCCAAAUGACCUAUGCUACUCUUAUAACAACUGUCUCUAGAGAAGAGCAUUCGUGUUUUCGCAUCAGCCAUCGUAGUUCUUCUACGUGCUUGGCACGCAGGAGAGGUUUCAGUUGGUUGCAAUCUGCAACCGCACUGCUAGAUACCGCCAGAUCCUACACACUGUACCUUUAAAUGUUGUCUGUGGAGA